GUCCGUCCCAAUUUGGACCGGUGUAAAAUAUGAUAGAAAUCGAUAAAAUAAUAAGAUAAUAAUAAUUUUAAAACUUCCAUGUAAAUAUAUAGCCCCAUUAAAACCAUAAAUUAAUAAUAUAUCUAUAUAUAUUUUUAUAUAAGUACAAACUAAACAUUAUAUUAUUGGUUUUAUAUUCACAAUGAAAAUACAUCUAUUUUUCUUAACAUUUUACUAUAUUUUGAUGAUAUUUAGUAAAAUUAUAUUGAAAACCACAUAACAACAUAAAAAUAUAUACCAAAUAAGAUAAUUAAACAAUAUGAAAGUCAAAUAUUUUAUUUUUUUAUAAACAAAAUAUUCAAAAACGGGAUACAAUCUAAAAAAGGAAACUUUGGUAAAUUAAUAUCUCUAUAAAUUAAUAAAAUUCUAAAGUCCCAACAUUAUUAAUUUAUAGAAGUUUUACUGUAUAUAAAAACCCCACUAAGAGAUUAAGCCAAAUAAAAUAGAAAUCCUAAUGUAAAUAUAAAUCAUCCUAG
Molecule: long non-coding RNA, 515 nt
Filed under: Brassica napus (rape)
Lineage: Eukaryota; Viridiplantae; Streptophyta; Magnoliopsida; Brassicales; Brassicaceae
Description: long non-coding RNA (BNAP_LNC015511)
Source: RNAcentral